RNAcentral lists this ribosomal RNA (1428 nucleotides) under Verrucaria sp. AFTOL 2268. Its description in RNAcentral is "eukaryotic LSU rRNA". It matches the Rfam family "Eukaryotic large subunit ribosomal RNA", at positions 71 to 1411 of the family's 3401-position model. Lineage: Eukaryota; Fungi; Ascomycota; Eurotiomycetes; Verrucariales; Verrucariaceae. The record is from RNAcentral.
GGGAUUGCCCCAGUAACGGCGAGUGAAGCGGCAACAGCUCAAAUUUGAAAUCUGGCUUUUCUUAAAGCCCGAGUUGUAAUUUGUAGAGGAUGCUUCGGGCAAGGCGGCGGUCUAAUUUGCUUGGAACAGCGAGUCAGAGAGGGUGAAAAUCCCGUCUAGGGCCGCGCGCCGCGUCCGUGUGAAGCUCCUUCGACGAGUCGAGUUGUUUGGGAAUGCAGCUCUAAAUGGGUGGUAAAUUUCAUCUAAAGCUAAAUAUGGGCCAGAGACCGAUAGCGCACAAGUAGAGUGAUCGAAAGAUGAAAAGCACUUUGAAAAGAGAGUUAAACAGUAUGUGAAAUUGUUGAAAGGGAAGCGCUUGCAACCAGACUUGCGCGUGGCGGCUCCCCCAACCUUGUGGGCUGGGCUACUCCGUCACGUCCAGGCCAGCAUCGGUUCGGGUGGUCGGUGAAAGACCCCGGGAAUGUAUCUACCUCCGGGUCGACUUAUAGCCCGGGGUGCAAUGCGGCCUACCCGGACCGAGGGACGCGCUUCGGCUCGGAUGCUGGCGUAAUGGUUGCAAGCGGCCCGUCUUGAAACACGGACCAAGGAGUCUAACAUCUAUGCGAGUGUUUGGGUGCCAAACCCCUACGCGUAAUGAAAGUGAACGGAGGUCAGAACCCUUUGGGGCGCACGAUCGACCGAUCCUGAUGUCUUCGGAUGGAUUUGAGUAAGAGCAUAGCUGUUGGGACCCGAAAGGUUGGUGACCCUUUUCUUGUUGUGGUUGAGAAUAUGCUAACGUUCUGUGACAGAUGGUGAACUAUGCCUGAAUAGGGUGAAGCCAGAGGAAACUCUGGUGGAGGCUCGCAGCGGUUCUGACGUGCAAAUCGAUCGUCAAAUUUGGGUAUAGGGGCGAAAGUGAGUGGACCUUUGUCAAUCUGGCGGCGGGCCGUGGCUAACGUGUUUUUAGGACUAAUCGAACCAUCUGGUAGCUGGUUCCUGUCGAAGUUUCCCUCAGGAUAGCAGUAACGCGUUCAGUUUUAUGAGGUAAAGCGAAUGAUUAGAGGCCUUGGGGUUGAAACAACCUUAACCUAUUCUCAAACUUUAAAUAUGUAAGAAGUCCUUGUUGCUUCGGUGAACGUGGACCUUCGAAUGUACCGUUACUAGUGGGCCAUUUUUGGUAAGCAGAACUGGCGAUGCGGGAUGAACCGAACGUGAGAUUAAGGUGCCGGAAUGCACGCUCAUCAGACACCACAAAAGGUGUCAAUGCAUCCAGACAGCCGGACGGUGGCCAUGGAAGUCGGAAUCCGCUUAGGAGUGUGUAACAACUCACCGGCCGAAUGCAUUGGCCCUGAAAAUGGAUGGCGCUUAAGCGUGCUACCUAUACCUCGCCGUCGGGGUUGAAAUGAGGCCCCGACGAGUAGGCAGGCGUGGGGGUCGGUGACGAAGCCU